RNAcentral lists this long non-coding RNA (987 nucleotides) under Daucus carota (carrot). Its description in RNAcentral is "long non-coding RNA (DCAR_LNC000965)". The record is from RNAcentral. Lineage: Eukaryota; Viridiplantae; Streptophyta; Magnoliopsida; Apiales; Apiaceae.
CAUUUGGUGGUUGUGGACGAUGAUCACUACGAUUCUGUUCUUGCUUUACUGGUUUUGCUGGAGGCACUGAGUUGCCAGCCUUGUGACAAGUAUGUUUUCCCUUGUAAGUGAUCUCAAAAAUCGCGGAAUCGUUAUCCGAUCUCUGAACUUGCUUUGUAGCUUGGCAACUUCGAGUCUUCCGGUAUGUGCAUCUGUAAUAGCUUCUGCAGAAAUAAACGUUUUCAUAAGAUUUAUGAUAUCUGACCUUCAUAAAAUUUCAUAUUUAUGCACUUGUGUAUCCAACUUUUACAUAUUUACAGUAAUACUAUUCAUUUCCGAGUCUAACACCCUCUUGUGUCGUGUUCGACACUUCGUAUGCAACAUGCAUCUAGUGUGUUUUACAUUAUUGUUUUGAAAGAGAUUAAUACAUGACAUAUUGUCUUUUUUCUUGUGCAGAUUUUUCAGCGAAUUAAAAGGCACUAUAAAUAUUAAAAGGGGUAUGUAGUUGUCGGAUAAAUGACUCUCCGCCUUUUUUUAUUUAAUAAUUAAACACACUCAAACACGCACGAGUAUUGUUUUUUUUUAAUCAGUAGUGACGCUAACUCUUACCUUGGAUGUGCAGCACCCAAAAUGUCCUUCUGUCCGUACUUCCUCCAACUAUAUCCAUCAGCAGAAUUCUCCCCUCCAUUAUCCGAAGAAAUUCUCACAUGGUCUUUCCACGUAGGUAACGCCUUUCUGCAAAUACGGAAAAUAAAUAAUUAGUCGAUAUAUCUCACUCGAAAGCAGGUCUGGUGGUAGCAUGUAUGCAACCAUUGAAAGUCUUAAUUAAAUACCUUUUUUUUGAAACAUCUCGGUGAUGAUCCUUGAAAUCCCCACUUUCAUAGGUAGAAAUCGGAGAUUCGGGCAGCUGAGCCAGCAUUGCUGGCAAUGUCUGAGGCUGCCCUGCUGAUGACUCAGUCCAGUUGAGAAGCAGCAAGGCAGUGUCAUAUGAAGAUAAUAUCUUCUGCA